This 141-nucleotide ribosomal RNA is filed under the name uncultured eukaryote. RNAcentral describes it as "partial 18S ribosomal RNA". It matches the Rfam family "Eukaryotic small subunit ribosomal RNA", at positions 1299 to 1458 of the family's 1831-position model. The record is from RNAcentral.
UGGUGGAGUGAUUUGUCUGGUUAAUUCCGUUAACGAACGAGACCUCGACCUGCUAAAUAGUUUUGUGUAAUCUCCGGGUUACAUCUAGACUUCUUAGAGGGACUAUCGGUGCGUAGCCGAUGGAAGUUCGAGGCAAUAACA